CCUACGGGUGGCAGCAGUGAGGAAUAUUGGUCAAUGGACGAGAGUCUGAACCAGCCAAGUAGCGUGAAGGAUGACUGCCCUAUGUGUUGUAAACUUCUUUUAUAUGGGAAUAAAAUGUUCCACGUUUGGGAUGUUGUAUGAACCAUAUGAAAAAGGAUCGGCUAACUCCGUGCCAGCAGCCGCGGUAAUACGGAGGAGCCGAGCGUUAGCCGGAUUUAUGGGGUUUAAAGGGAGCGUAGGUGGAUGGUAAAGUCAGUUGUGAAAGUUUGCGGGUCAACAGUAAAAUUGCAGUUGAAACUGGCAGUCUUGAGUACAGUAGAGGUGGGCGGAAUGCGUGGUGUAGCGGUGAAAUGCUGAGAUAUCACGAAGAACUCCGAUUGCGAAGGCAGCUCACUGGACUGCAACUGACACUGAUGCUCGAAAGUGUGGGUAUCAAACAGGAUUAGAUACCCGGGUAGUC
This 460-nucleotide ribosomal RNA is filed under the name uncultured bacterium. RNAcentral's name for it is "partial 16S ribosomal RNA". It matches the Rfam family "Bacterial small subunit ribosomal RNA", at positions 338 to 795 of the family's 1533-position model. The record is from RNAcentral.